CUGGAGCAUUAGCUCUCCCCUUCCAGUUUGAUGUCAUCCCAAAAUGUGAUAAGUACACCACAGCUCGUGGUCUUUGCCUUGUGGGAUUUGCAGUCAAAGGACAGGAGUUCAAAUCCUCGCUCUCCUCCUCUGAACGACCUUGAGCACUUCACCUCUCUGGGAUUUCAUUUCCCUCCUUCUUUUUUCUUUUUUUUCUUUCUUUCUUUCUUUCUUUCUUUCUUUCUUUCUUUCUUUCUUUCUUUCUUUCUUUCUUUCUUUCUUUCUUUCUUUCUUUCUUUCUUUCUUUCUUUCUUUCUUUCUUUCUUUCUUUCUUUCUUUCUUUCUUUCUUUCUUUCUUUCUUUCUUUCUCUCUUUCUCUCUUUCUUUCUUUCUCUCUUUCUCUCUUUCUCUCUUUCUCUCUUUCUCUCUUUCUCUUUUUCUUUCUCUCUUUCUCUCUUUCUUUCUCUCUUUCUUUCUCUCUUUCUCUCUUUCUCUCUUUCUCUCUUUCUUUCUCUCUCUCUUUCUUACUUUCUUUCUUUCUUUCUUUCUUUCUCUCUCUCUUUCUUUCUUUCUUUCUUUCUUUCUUUCUUUCUUUCUUUCUUUCUUUCUUUCUUUCUUUCUUUCCUUCUUUCUUUCUUUCUUUCUUUCUUUCUUUCUUUCUUUCUUUCUUUCUUUCUUUCUUUCUUUCUUUCUUUCUUUCUUUCUUUCUUUCUUUCUUUCUUUCUUUCUUUCCUUCCUUCCUUCCUUCCUUUCCUUCCUUCCUUCCUUCCUUCCUCCCUCCCUCCUCCCUCCCUCCCUCCCUACCUCCCUCCCUCCCUCCCUUCCUUCCUUCCUUCCUCCUUCUUUCCUUCCUCCCUCCCUUCCUUCCUUUCCUCCCUUCCUUCCUUCCCUCUCUUCCUACAUUCCAUCCUUCCAUAUAUAAGUAUCAGUUAUAAGACAGAAGAACACUAAGAUAUAAACAAUGGGAGUUAAGUGACUUGCCCAGGGUUACACAGCUAGGAAGUGCCUGAAGCCAUUGAACUCAGAAGGAUUCAUCUUCCUAUCCAAGGCUCUAACCACUGCCCCACCUAGCUGCUCAAUGAAAGGAAAAUUAGGGAAUACUCCUUAUCUUAUAGGUUUACAGUGAAGAUGGUGUUUGGUCAACCUUCAGGUUCUAUAGAAAUGUGAGUUCUCAUCAUCAUCAUCAUUCACUCUUCUAACUCUAUGGUCCUAGCAUGUAUAAUAGUUAUUUUUAUAUCUGUCAUGUCCCAUAAGUAGACUGCCAGGGGCAGCAUCACAUCUGAAAGUCAUUUCUCCCCACAGGGCCCUAGCAGGCAUUUAAUAAGUGUUUGUGGAGUGGAUUUGACCCGGAAUCUGCUGAGCCUCUCACAUGUCCCACUAUUCCUUUUGUUCUUCCCCUUCUGAUCUUUCUUCCCUGGCCAUCAGAAAGGAUACACAUAGCCAACAACCGCUGAUAACACAAAUCGAAAAUGUAUUUCCUGGCUUUUGAACUGAGUUGAAGAGUUUUCUUGACUGAUGUAAUGCUUGGCAGACCUCCUCUUCCUCUCUCAGGGUCCUGUGACACACUCACACUAACUGUUAAAAAGCCACGGUCUUUUGGUCUUUGCAGUGCAGAAGGGCAGGCAAGCCUAUCCCCAGCCCUGCUGUGAGAGAGGUGGCCCCGGUCAUGUGUCAGACACACGAGCAAGCCUGGUCACCCAGAUAGAGAGGGAGCUUUGGCACUUUUGUCCCUUGUUUUUAUCAUUCAAAGGGCUUAGUCCUGGCUGGAGAGCUGGGUGCCGAGUGGCCACGUGUUGGAUCGAAGGGCCAAGAAUCCUUCUGGGACAUCAUCCAAUUAGGAAAUCCAGUUUUUUUAAAGAUUUUUUUGUUUUAAACUUAAUAAUCAUUAGCAAAACAAUCAAAUCAUCAUCCAGAUUAAGCACUAAACCCUUUUUAUCUGAUCCUUUUUCAU
This is a long non-coding RNA of Monodelphis domestica (gray short-tailed opossum), 1930 nucleotides long. The record is from Ensembl. NCBI's taxonomy places the organism in Eukaryota, Metazoa, Chordata, Mammalia, Didelphimorphia, Didelphidae.